RNAcentral lists this transfer RNA (66 nucleotides) under Pseudotrapelus jensvindumi. RNAcentral describes it as "tRNA-His". The record is from RNAcentral. Lineage: Eukaryota; Metazoa; Chordata; Lepidosauria; Squamata; Agamidae.
CCAGGAUAGUUUAACAAAACACUAGGUCGUGACCCUAAUAAUAGAACUUUACCCUUCUUCCUAGCU